GGAUUAGAUACCCUGGUAGUCCACGCUGUAAACGAUGAGUACUAGAUGGUGGGUGAUUCGACCCUCUCACUGUUACAGUUAACGCAUUAAGUACUCCGCCUGGGAAGUACGUUCGCAAGAAUGAAACUCAAAGGAAUUGACGGGGACCCGCACAAGCGGUGGAUUAUGUGGUUUAAUUCGAUGCAACGCGAAGAACCUUACCUAGAUUUGACAUGUUAAAGAAAGCCUCGUGAAAGCGAGGGCCUUUUUAAGUUUACUUAAAAACUUUUUCACAGGUGAUGCAUGGCUGUCGUCAGCUCGUGCCG
Molecule: ribosomal RNA, 305 nt
Filed under: uncultured bacterium
Lineage: Bacteria
Description: bacterial SSU rRNA
Rfam family: Bacterial small subunit ribosomal RNA
Source: RNAcentral